RNAcentral lists this ribosomal RNA (698 nucleotides) under uncultured Bacteroidota bacterium. Its description in RNAcentral is "bacterial SSU rRNA". It matches the Rfam family "Bacterial small subunit ribosomal RNA", at positions 53 to 738 of the family's 1533-position model. Lineage: Bacteria; Pseudomonadati; Bacteroidota. The record is from RNAcentral.
CCUUGCAAGUCGAGGGGAAACGACAUCGAAAGCUUGCUUUUGAUGGGCGUCGACCGGCGCACGGGUGAGUAACGCGUAUCCAACCUGCCCACCACUUGGGAAUAACCUUGCGAAAGUAAGACUAAUACCCAAUGACAUCCCACGAAGGCAUCCGAAUGGGAUUAAAGAUUUAUCGGUGAUGGAUGGGGAUGCGUCUGAUUAGCUUGUUGGCGGGGUAACGGCCCACCAAGGCAACGAUCAGUAGGGGUUCUGAGAGGAAGGUCCCCCACAUUGGAACUGAGACACGGUCCAAACUCCUACGGGAGGCAGCAGUGAGGAAUAUUGGUCAAUGGACGCGAGUCUGAACCAGCCAAGUAGCGUGCAGGAUGACGGCCCUAUGGGUUGUAAACUGCUUUUAUAUGGGAAUAAAGUGAGUCACGUGUGACUUUUUGCAUGUACCUUAUGAAUAAGGACCGGCUAAUUCCGUGCCAGCAGCCGCGGUAAUACGGAAGGUCCGGGCGUUAUCCGGAUUUAUUGGGUUUAAAGGGAGCGUAGGCCGGAGAUUAAGCGUGUUGUGAAAUGUAGAGGCUCAACCUCUGCACUGCAGCGCGAACUGGUCUUCUUGAGUACGCACAACGUGGGCGGAAUUCGUGGUGUAGCGGUGGAAUGCUUAGAUAUCACGAAAAACUCCGAUUGCGAAGGCAGCUCACGGGAGCGCA